AUUUGAGCACUUGUUUAAUGAGCCAUGUCCAAAGUUAGAAAUCACGCCUUAUGGCACCUAGUCAGUUGUGCAGAUGGUUAGUUUGCUUCUAAUGCUUCUAAUAUUAGUACACGAGUGUUUAUAAUUUCAAGAAGAUGUGCAUUUAAAUUGGGUGUAAUUUAAUUCUGAAAAGUAAAUAGUGUAACCAACAUCUUUCAAAUACUCCAAUUUCAGGUAUAAUCCUAAAGCAAGAGGACAUUUCUACAUUGAUUUUUAUCAUAAAACUAAAAAUCUAACAAAUGUUGCCAAAAAUUGGUUUCGUUGGGAAUAGGAUGCUGAAAAGUAGUUUUUUCCUAAAUUCACCCAACAUUUUGAGAAUUGCCUAAAUAUGUUUAAACAUUUAAAUUAUACACUGUAUCAGUUUAAAAUAACCAUUUUUUACUUUAGACAACAGGAUAUUUUGUUUAUGACAAUAGGUGGAGAGAUUAUUACAAAUAACAGUUAUAACAACAUAUAGGUGACACUGAAACUGGGUCUUUAAACAUAAUAUAUUUGCUGGACAAGACACAGAGAGGUCGAUGCUCUCCCUGGUGACUAGGAAGAAAUUCAAAGUAGAAGGAGUCUAGUCUAUCUGGUAGGAAGUAGCAAGAGCUGAAAUGGGGUAAGCCAGGGCUAGAAUGUAACAGAGGUCACUUGGACUUUUUCCUCUAGAGAGUAGGAAC
This 701-nucleotide long non-coding RNA is filed under the name Bos taurus (domestic cattle). Its description in RNAcentral is "long non-coding RNA NONBTAT018815". Lineage: Eukaryota; Metazoa; Chordata; Mammalia; Artiodactyla; Bovidae. The record is from RNAcentral.